UGGAAUGGCGGCUGCUAUACAUGCAAGUCGAGCGGACAGAAGGGAGCUUGCUCCCGGAUGUUAGCGGCGGACGGGUGAGUAACACGUGGGUAACCUGCCUGUAAGACUGGGAUAACUCCGGGAAACCGGAGCUAAUACCGGAUAGUUCCUUGAACCGCAUGGUUCAAGGAUGAAAGACGGUUUCGGCUGUCACUUACAGAUGGACCCGCGGCGCAUUAGCUAGUUGGUGGGGUAAUGGCUCACCAAGGCGACGAUGCGUAGCCGACCUGAGAGGGUGAUCGGCCACACUGGGACUGAGACACGGCCCAGACUCCUACGGGAGGCAGCAGUAGGGAAUCUUCCGCAAUGGACGAAAGUCUGACGGAGCAACGCCGCGUGAGUGAUGAAGGUUUUCGGAUCGUAAAGCUCUGUUGUUAGGGAAGAACAAGUGCGAGAGUAACUGCUCGCACCUUGACGGUACCUAACCAGAAAGCCACGGCUAACUACGUGCCAGCAGCCGCGGUAAUACGUAGGUGGCAAGCGUUGUCCGGAAUUAUUGGGCGUAAAGGGCUCGCAGGCGGUUUCUUAAGUCUGAUGUGAAAGCCCCCGGCUCAACCGGGGAGGGUCAUUGGAAACUGGGAAACUUGAGUGCAGAAGAGGAGAGUGGAAUUCCACGUGUAGCGGUGAAAUGCGUAGAGAUGUGGAGGAACACCAGUGGCGAAGGCGACUCUCUGGUCUGUAACUGACGCUGAGGAGCGAAAGCGUGGGGAGCGAACAGGAUUAGAUACCCUGGUAGUCCACGCCGUAAACGAUGAGUGCUAAGUGUUAGGGGGUUUCCGCCCCUUAGUGCUGCAGCUAACGCAUUAAGCACUCCGCCUGGGGAGUACGGUCGCAAGACUGAACUCAAAGGAAUUGACGGGGCCCGCACAAGCGGUGGGAGCAUGGUGGUUUAAUU
RNAcentral lists this ribosomal RNA (934 nucleotides) under Bacillus sp. (in: firmicutes). RNAcentral describes it as "bacterial SSU rRNA". It matches the Rfam family "Bacterial small subunit ribosomal RNA", at positions 37 to 951 of the family's 1533-position model. Lineage: Bacteria; Bacillati; Bacillota; Bacilli; Caryophanales; Bacillaceae. The record is from RNAcentral.